UGUACAUCGUAGACGUGUUUCCUCGAGAGAAGUCUGAAGAAGGACGUGCCAAGCUGCGAUAAGCUACGGGACCCGCACGGAGGGGAAGAACGUAGGAUUUCCGAAUGGGAAUCCCCACCGCAAUUGCUUCGCGCAAUGGGGAACGUCGAGAAUUGAAACAUCUUAGUAUCGACAGGAAAAGAAAGCAACUCGCGAUGUCGUUAGUAACGGCGAGUGAACCCGACACAGUCCAAACCGAAGCCCUCACGGGCAAUGUGGUGUUCGGGCUGACUUUCAGCACCAGACAAUCUACGAGAAAUCUCCUGGAAUGGAGUACGAGACAGGGUGAUAGUCCCGUACUGUAGGUGAGUACGGUGUGUGUCAGUACCAGAGUAGCGGGGAUUGGAUAUUCCUCGUGAAUGUUGCGGGCAUUGACCGCAAAGACUCAAUACUCCUUGAGACCGAUAGCGAACAAGUAGCGUGAGCGAACGCUGAAAAGCACCCCAAGAAGGGAGGUGCAAUAGGGCGUGAAAUCAGUUGGCGAUAGAACGACAGGGCACGAAAGGUCCGACACAUAAUGAAUCAGGUGCGAACCUGUAGUAAGCUGUGUUGGAAGCCGGUGUUCUGUCGUACGUUUUGAAAAACGA
RNAcentral lists this non-coding RNA (626 nucleotides) under Halostagnicola sp. A56. RNAcentral's name for it is "Archaeal large subunit ribosomal RNA". It matches the Rfam family "Archaeal large subunit ribosomal RNA", at positions 1 to 662 of the family's 2987-position model. Lineage: Archaea; Methanobacteriati; Methanobacteriota; Halobacteria; Halobacteriales; Natrialbaceae. The record is from Rfam by way of RNAcentral.